RNAcentral lists this ribosomal RNA (490 nucleotides) under Bacillus baekryungensis. RNAcentral's name for it is "bacterial SSU rRNA". It matches the Rfam family "Bacterial small subunit ribosomal RNA", at positions 383 to 865 of the family's 1533-position model. The record is from RNAcentral. Lineage: Bacteria; Bacillati; Bacillota; Bacilli; Caryophanales; Bacillaceae.
CUGACGGAGCAACGCCGCGUGAGUGACGAAGGCCUUCGGGUCGUAAAGCUCUGUUGUUAGGGAAGAACAAGUACCGUUCGAAUAGGGCGGUACCUUGACGGUACCUAACCAGAAAGCCACGGCUAACUACGUGCCAGCAGCCGCGGUAAUACGUAGGUGGCAAGCGUUGUCCGGAAUUAUUGGGCGUAAAGCGCGCGCAGGCGGUCUUUUAAGUCUGAUGUGAAAGCCCACGGCUCAACCGUGGAGGGUCAUUGGAAACUGGAGGACUUGAGUGCAGAAGAGGAGAGUGGAAUUCCACGUGUAGCGGUGAAAUGCGUAGAUAUGUGGAGGAACACCAGUGGCGAAGGCGGCUCUCUGGUCUGUAACUGACGCUGAGGCGCGAAAGCGUGGGGAGCAAACAGGAUUAGAUACCCUGGUAGUCCACGCCGUAAACGAUGAGUGCUAGGUGUUGGGGGGUUCCACCCUCAGUGCUGAAGUUAACACAUUAAGC